UUCAAGGACCCAUAUGUCUUCUGUUGGCAGUGGGUGUUUUACAGUGAAGCUCAUGAACACAUUUUGGGAUGAUUUACAAUGCAGCUUUAAGGGGCUUUGGGCUACAAAUCUCACUUCAGGGUGCAGAUUUUCCAGACCAGACGUGCUGUGUUCAGUGCAAGUCAAGGGAAGGGAGAGCAGAAGAGUAAUUUUAAGGCACCUUUACGCUUGCUUCAUCCUGAAGUUGCAAGCAAUAACCUGCAGCCUACUCUGAUUUACCCAGGUGCCAGCAGUCACCAGGAUUAAGGUGCUAAUCACACAGCUUUCCGAAUGGGAGAGAACUAGUAUAGCCUCUAGUAACUUGUGACAGAGCAAUGGAUUUAAUAACCUUGAAGAUGUCCCCAGGGUAUUAUGCAGCAGUGUUUGAAGCUUAGAAGAAAAAGACAUUUCAUUAUAUACAGAUGGUAGAAAAUCAAAUACAUGAAAGAAAUAUA
Long non-coding RNA from Trachemys scripta elegans, 473 nucleotides. RefSeq lists it as uncharacterized. NCBI's taxonomy places the organism in Eukaryota, Metazoa, Chordata, Testudines, Emydidae. The transcript is spliced from 3 exons. The record is from RefSeq and is a predicted model, not a curated record.